Molecule: long non-coding RNA, 2406 nt
Filed under: Cucumis sativus (cucumber)
Lineage: Eukaryota; Viridiplantae; Streptophyta; Magnoliopsida; Cucurbitales; Cucurbitaceae
Description: long non-coding RNA (CSAT_LNC000281)
Source: RNAcentral
CCAGUAGCUAGAUGUGGACUUUCGAGGCCUCGGACCCCGUUCCAAGUCCGGUCGUCCCUUUCUAGGCCAUUGUGCCUUUCUUCGGCGUUUUGGGACGAAACCAAGGAAUCGAGUCUAGGGCGUCACUGUUCGGCUUUUGUGGGCAAGAAACUUCGAGAUCGGACCACCCAGUAGCUAGAUGUGGACUUUUGACGCCUUGGACCCCGUUCCAAGUCCGGUCGUCCCUUUCUAGGCCACUGUGCCUUUCUUCAGCGUUCUGGCACGGAACUAAGAAACCGAGUCUGGGGCAUCACCGUUCGGCUUUUGUUGCAAGAAACUUCGAGACCGGACCACCCAGUAGCUAGAUGUGGACUUUCGAGGACUCGGACCCCGUUCCAAGUCCAGUCGUCCCUUUCUAGGCCAUUGUGCCUUUCUUCGGCGUUUUGGGACGGAACCAAGAAACCGAGUCUGGGGCGUCACCGUUCGGCUUUUGUGGGCAAGAAACUUCGAGAUCGGACCAACCAGUAGCUAGAUGUGGACUUUUGAGGCCUCGGACCCCGUUCCAAGUCCGGUCGUCCCUUUCUAGGCCAUUGUGCCUUUCUUCGGCGUUUUGGGACGGAACCAAGAAACCGAGUCUGGGCGUUACCGUUCGGCUUUUGUGGGCAAGAAACUUCGAGAUCGGACCACCCAGUAGCUAGAUGUGGACUUUCGAGGCCUCGGACCUCGUUCCAAGUCCAAUCGUCCCUUUCUAGGCCAUUGUGCAUUUCUUCGGCGUUUUGGGACGGAACCAAGUAACCGAGUCUGGGGCGUCACCGUUCGGCUUUUGUGGGCAAGAAACUUCGAGAUCGGACCACCUAGUAGCUAGAUGGGGACUUUCAAGGCCUCGGACCCCGUUCCAAGUCCGGUCGUCCCUUUCUUGGCCAUUGUGCCUUUCUUCGGCGUUCUGGGACGGAACCAAGAAACCGAGUCUGGAGCGUCACCGUUCGGAUUUUGUGGGCAAGAAACUUCGACAUCGGACCACCCAGUAGCUAGAUGUGGACUUUCGAGGCCUCGGACCCCGUUCCAAGUCCGGUCGUCCCUUUCUAGGCAAUUAUGCCUUUCUUCGGCGUUUUGGGACGGAACCAAGAAACCGAGUCUGGGCGUUACCGUUCGGCUUUUGUGGGCAAGAAACUUCGAGAUCGGACCACCCAGAAGCUAGAUGUGGACUUUUGACGCCUCGGACCCCGUUCCAAGUCCGGUCGUCCCUUUCUAGGCCACUGUGCCUUUCUUCAGCGUUCUGGCACGAAACGAAGAAACCCAGUCUGGGGCGUCACCGUUCGGCUUUUGUGGGCAAGAAACUUCGAGAUCGGACCACCCAGUAGCUAGAUGUGGACUUUCGAGGCCUCGGACCCCGUUCCAAGUCCGGUCGUCCCUUUCUAGGCCAUUGUGCCUUUCUUCUGCGUUUUGGGACGGAACCAAGAAACCGAGUCUGGGGCGUCACCGUUCGGGUUUUGUGGGCAAGAAACUUCGACAUCGGACCACCCAGUAGCUAGAUGUGGACUUUCGAGGCCUCGGACCCCGUUCCAAGUCCGAUCGUCCCUUUCUAGGCCAUUGUGCCUUUCUUCGGCGUUUUGGGACGGAACCAAGGAACCGAGUCUAGGGCGUCACCGUUCGGCUUUUGUGGGCAAGAAACUUCGAGAUCGGACCACCCAGUAGCUAGAUGUGGACUUUUGACGCCUUGGACCCCGUUCCAAGUUCGGUCGUCCCUUUCUAGGCCACUGUGUCUUUCUUCAGCGUUCUGGCACGGAACGAAGGAACCGAGUCUGGGACGUCACCGUUCGGCUUUUGUGGGCAAGAAACUUCGAGACCGGACCACCCAGUAGCUAGAUGUGGACUUUCGAGGCCUCGGACCCGUUCCAAGUCCGGUCGUCCCUUCCUAGGCCAUUGUGCAUUUCUUCGGCGUUUUGGGACGGAACCAAGAAACCGAGUCUAGGCGUUACCGUUCGGUUUUUGUGGGCAAGAAACUUCGAGAUCGGACCACCCAGUAGCUAGAUGUCGACUUUCGAGGCCUCGAACCUCGUUCCAAGUCAGUUCGUCCCUUUCUAGGCCAUUGUGCCUUUCUUCGGCGUUUUUGGAUGGAACCAAGAAACCGAGUCUGGGGCGUCACCGUUCGGAUUUUGUGGGCAAGAAACUUCGACAUCGGACCACCCAGUAGCUAGAUGUGGACUUUCGAGGCCUCGGACCCCGUUCCAAGUCCGAUCGUCCCUUUCUAGGCCAUUGUGCCUUUCUUUGGCGUUUUGGGACGGAACCAAGAAACCGAGUCUGGGGCGUCACCGUUCGGCUUUUGUGGGCAAGAAACUUCGAGAUCGGACCACCCAGUAGAUGUUGUUGGUUCUACUCCCAAGGUAUAAACCUUAGCUACAAGCUAUUUCAAGGAUCACAUGUGCC